This 1534-nucleotide ribosomal RNA is filed under the name Klebsiella aerogenes. RNAcentral describes it as "bacterial SSU rRNA". It matches the Rfam family "Bacterial small subunit ribosomal RNA". Lineage: Bacteria; Pseudomonadati; Pseudomonadota; Gammaproteobacteria; Enterobacterales; Enterobacteriaceae. The record is from RNAcentral.
AAAAAGGUUUGAUCAUGGAAUCCGAUUGAACGCUGGCGGCAGGCCUAACACAUGCAAGUCGAGCGGUAGCACAGAGAGCUUGCUCUCGGGUGACGAGCGGCGGACGGGUGAGUAAUGUCUGGGAAACUGCCUGAUGGAGGGGGAUAACUACUGGAAACGGUAGCUAAUACCGCAUAACGUCGCAAGACCAAAGUGGGGGACCUUCGGGCCUCAUGCCAUCAGAUGUGCCCAGAUGGGAUUAGCUAGUAGGUGGGGUAAUGGCUCACCUAGGCGACGAUCCCUAGCUGGUCUGAGAGGAUGACCAGCCACACUGGAACUGAGACACGGUCCAGACUCCUACGGGAGGCAGCAGUGGGGAAUAUUGCACAAUGGGCGCAAGCCUGAUGCAGCCAUGCCGCGUGUAUGAAGAAGGCCUUCGGGUUGUAAAGUACUUUCAGCGAGGAGGAAGGCGUUAAGGUUAAUAACCUUGGCGAUUGACGUUACUCGCAGAAGAAGCACCGGCUAACUCCGUGCCAGCAGCCGCGGUAAUACGGAGGGUGCAAGCGUUAAUCGGAAUUACUGGGCUAAAGCGCACGCAGGCGGUCUGUCAAGUCGGAUGUGAAAUCCCCGGGCUCAACCUGGGAACUGCAUUCGAAACUGGCAGGCUAGAGUCUUGUAGAGGGGGGUAGAAUUCCAGGUGUAGCGGUGAAAUGCGUAGAGAUCUGGAGGAAUACCGGUGGCGAAGGCGGCCCCCUGGACAAAGACUGACGCUCAGGUGCGAAAGCGUGGGGAGCAAACAGGAUUAGAUACCCUGGUAGUCCACGCCGUAAACGAUGUCGACUUGGAGGUUGUGCCCUUGAGGCGUGGCUUCCGGAGCUAACGCGUUAAGUCGACCGCCUGGGGAGUACGGCCGCAAGGUUAAAACUCAAAUGAAUUGACGGGGGCCCGCACAAGCGGUGGAGCAUGUGGUUUAAUUCGAUGCAACGCGAAGAACCUUACCUACUCUUGACAUCCAGAGAACUUAGCAGAGAUGCUUUGGUGCCUUCGGGAACUCUGAGACAGGUGCUGCAUGGCUGUCGUCAGCUCGUGUUGUGAAAUGUUGGGUUAAGUCCCGCAACGAGCGCAACCCUUAUCCUUUGUUGCCAGCGGUCCGGCCGGGAACUCAAAGGAGACUGCCAGUGAUAAACUGGAGGAAGGUGGGGAUGACGUCAAGUCAUCAUGGCCCUUACGAGUAGGGCUACACACGUGCUACAAUGGCAUAUACAAAGAGAAGCGACCUCGCGAGAGCAAGCGGACCUCAUAAAGUAUGUCGUAGUCCGGAUUGGAGUCUGCAACUCGACUCCAUGAAGUCGGAAUCGCUAGUAAUCGUAGAUCAGAAUGCUACGGUGAAUACGUUCCCGGGCCUUGUACACACCGCCCGUCACACCAUGGGAGUGGGUUGCAAAAGAAGUAGGUAGCUUAACCUUCGGGAGGGCGCUUACCACUUUGUGAUUCAUGACUGGGGUGAAGUCGUAACAAGGUAACCGUAGGGGAACCUGCGGUUGGAUCACCCCCA